This 94-nucleotide ribosomal RNA is filed under the name Nocardioides sp. zg-1228. Its description in RNAcentral is "partial 16S ribosomal RNA". It matches the Rfam family "Bacterial small subunit ribosomal RNA", at positions 1 to 93 of the family's 1533-position model. Lineage: Bacteria; Bacillati; Actinomycetota; Actinomycetes; Propionibacteriales; Nocardioidaceae. The record is from RNAcentral.
UUUCGAUGGAGAGUUUGAUCCUGGCUCAGGACGAACGCUGGCGGCGUGCUUAACACAUGCAAGUCGAGCGGAAAGGCCCUUUCGGGGGUACUCG